This is a long non-coding RNA of Dama dama (fallow deer), 1108 nucleotides long. RefSeq lists it as uncharacterized. The record is from RefSeq and is a predicted model, not a curated record. The transcript has 3 exons. NCBI's taxonomy places the organism in Eukaryota, Metazoa, Chordata, Mammalia, Artiodactyla, Cervidae.
UCGUAGAGAAGCAUCUUACUGGGGUCUGCAUUUGUUUGUUUAUUUAUUUAUUAUCGAACAAAGAAAAAGCAGGCUGAGGAGCUGAAGUAAGAAGACUGGUGAAAGUGGUUGCAAAGAGGUCCUGGUUUAGGCCUGACACCAGGAGGGAGUGUGUUAAAUUUCUUCUUGCUGUCAGCCAUUCCCAGGUAAAGGUUAUUCUGCUGGCCUGGAUGUAAAUAACCAUCAGUUUGUCUUCAGAAUCAUGUCUGAAUCACCACAAUAUAUUGAGGCUUUUCUUGCUGUAUCAGAGGAGCUAACGAAAAGCAGUUUUGAUUAGGCCAAAGGCAAGAGUACUGGAGUGGGUUGCCAUCUCCUCCAGGGGAUCUUCCCGACCCAGGGAUCGACCCUUCGUCUCUUUGCGUCUCCUGCAUUGGCAGGUAGGUUCUUUAUCGCUGUACCACUGGGAAGCCUUCCUGAAAUAGGAAGACCCCAUGAAAGGUAAGUUCAAGUCAUCUCUUUUAUUUAUUUACUUAUUUUUUUUUCAAGUCAUCUCUUUUAAUAUAGAGCUCUGUCUGUGUGUGUGUCUUCCCUUUGUAGUUUAUUGCUUACCUCUUGAAAAACUAGAUUAUAUGAUGUAUAUGGUUUUACACAAUGUGGAUUUUGCUGAUUAUUUCCCUUUGGUGCCAUUUAACAUGUUCCCCUUUCCUCUGUGUUUUCUAGAAAUUGCCAGGUGGGGACUAUAAGCUUGAUGAAGUUCAUGUCUAAUCUGUUUCACUGUAGUGCCGUGUGCGGGCCCUCCCUUCUCAGCCUUCUCUCGUUCCACGCGUGGCUGUGUUAGCAGCCGUGGUGUCCUCUUUGCUGUCUUCAGUCACUUGUCCGUGUCUGACUCUUCAUGACCCCAUGGACUGUAGCCCUCUGUCUGUGGCAUUCUCCAGGCAAGGAUACUGGAGUGAGCUGCCAUUUCCUUCUCCAGGAUAAUCCUCCUUAUAUCCUACUAACGUGCUACAAGUUAUGAAAUGAUGACACUCUAAUUUAUCAUUUAGCCUUCACUGAUGAGCUGCAAUAUUUCCAUAAAGGGAGUAGUUAGCUAUAUGACAGUUCAUCUAGGUAAUAUGGGCUAAAUGCUGGA